CUGCUGCCUUCCGUAGGAGUCUGGGCCGUGUCUCAGUCCCAAUGUGGCCGUUCAACCUCUCAGUCCGGCUACCGAUCGUCGGCUUGGUGGGCUAUUAUCUCACCAACUACCUAAUCGGGCGCGAGCCCAUCUUUCAGCGAUAAAUCUUUGAUUGGGUCAUGAUGCCAUAUCCCAAUGUUAUGCGGUAUUAGCGUUCGUUUCCAAACGUUAUUCCCCUCUGAAAGGCAGGUUGCUCACGUGUUACUCACCCG
This 251-nucleotide ribosomal RNA is filed under the name uncultured bacterium. Its description in RNAcentral is "partial 16S ribosomal RNA". The record is from RNAcentral.